RNAcentral lists this ribosomal RNA (254 nucleotides) under uncultured bacterium. Its description in RNAcentral is "partial 16S ribosomal RNA". It matches the Rfam family "Bacterial small subunit ribosomal RNA", at positions 524 to 776 of the family's 1533-position model. The record is from RNAcentral.
UACGGGGGGAGCAAGCGUUGUUCGGAUUUACUGGGCGUAAAGGGCGCGUAGGCGGUCAGCACAAGUCAGUUGUGAAAUCUCCGAGCUUAACUCGGAAAGGUCAACUGAUACUGUGCGACUAGAGUGCAGAAGGGGCAACUGGAAUUCUCGGUGUAGCGGUGAAAUGCGUAGAUAUCGAGAGGAACACCUGCGGCGAAGGCGGGUUGCUGGGCUGACACUGACGCUGAUGCGCGAAAGCCAGGGGAGCGAACGGG